Molecule: long non-coding RNA, 474 nt
Organism: Stomoxys calcitrans (stable fly)
Lineage: Eukaryota; Metazoa; Arthropoda; Insecta; Diptera; Muscidae
Exons: 2
Source: RefSeq, a predicted model, not a curated record
UCUGUUGCUUAUACUCGGAAUCCGUGGUACGAACAAAGUUUUAUACCUACAGGAUUUACGCUGCCCACCGGGUAGCGUGAUUCCUCUUGUUCUUGCUGCCACCAGGACUUCUACCAGAGACAUUUACGUGGAUAUACCCAUUGAAAUCAUUAUCAAGUAUCAAGGUUAUUUGUGGUAAAAACUCCUAUUGGAACAAUCAUCGCCUCCCUUUUUCUACCUGGUUCGACCUCACCUAUGCCAAGUGCUGUGUGUAGCUUAUGCCCAAUUCCCGCCAUUGGAAUACUUUUGAAUUCAUAGAAAUCCGCACCUAUAUGUAUCUAGAACCGAUGCACUGGCAGUGUUUCCCUGUAUGAGCUGCUAGUGCAAUAACAAGAAAUCAACCCAUCAAUCUCCACAUCUGAAUGGCCGAUGAGAUUUAAAAAGAACUACCAAGUGAAUAAACCAAGGCCUUAAACUCAUGUUUUCAACAACCUA